This is a non-coding RNA of Trichechus manatus latirostris (Florida manatee), 66 nucleotides long. NCBI's taxonomy places the organism in Eukaryota, Metazoa, Chordata, Mammalia, Sirenia, Trichechidae. The record is from the annotation of a RefSeq genome assembly.
AGCCCUGAGGUGUGUUACACAUUGAAUUGCAAAUUCGAAGAAGCAGCUUCAACUCUGCCGGGGCUU